This 882-nucleotide long non-coding RNA is filed under the name Mytilus galloprovincialis (Mediterranean mussel). Lineage: Eukaryota; Metazoa; Mollusca; Bivalvia; Mytilida; Mytilidae. The record is from RNAcentral.
CAAUGUUGCAAUGGUAAGUAACGUUAUAAACAGCAACUGAAAGUGAAAGUGAAAGUUCAUUGUAAGUAUGGAAGUAAACUAUAAAAAGAAAUUAAAAUAAAAUGUUUUUGUUGUGAAAAUGUUUGUUAAAAUUAUUCUGCCAACAUGUGUUUGUCCUCUUGCAUCGUGGAAAGAAUAAUACAAUAAGUUGUCAGGCUGUGUAUAGACUGUAUAGGUUGUGUGAUCUGAAUGUUCAUUUAACUUUCUUCCCCAAAAUAGACGAGAUUUUAUCAGCAAUUCCGUACCAUUUCGACUGGCUUCCCUUGGCCAGAGGUACUGCUUCCAAUCGCGUCAAGAAUGCUGUAAAAUGUUUCGGUCGCCGAGAGUAAAGGACACAAAGUAUAAAUAUCGCUAGUCUAUAUGUUGAAUUUGAACUAUGUAUCGUUCAUCAAACUAUCGGGAAUGGCCAGUUUUCUGUAAAAAUGGUUGUAUCUCGAGUGUUGUAUGUUUGAUUACCAUAUUUUCGGGAGCUUCAGAUUGAAUUUAAAGAAUACGAAAUCGGGUGCAUUUAAUUUCAAAUUAAUUCUGUAAGAGAGAAAUAAUUUCCUAUCACUGUUCUUUUCCUCCUUAAGGCUCGUAUUGGGUUAAGAUGGUCCGUUAUUAUCUAUUUCUUUUCUUGUGUUUGAUGGCAGCAUUCUCGGAAGGUUCCUGUGGGUGCCUCAACAAAAUAUAACUUUGUUUACUGUGUGCGAAUGGCUAGUAUGAUUAGCGCUGAUUGCAACGACGGUUUCCUUACAGAAUGCAGGGGUUCACGAUAAAAAAUAAAAUCAAUUACAAACGAAAGUCAACCAACGCCUGGUGAGUCUGUAGUACGGUAGAGUCCAUAAAGUGGAUACCUCGCCG